Molecule: ribosomal RNA, 446 nt
Filed under: uncultured bacterium
Lineage: Bacteria
Description: partial 16S ribosomal RNA
Rfam family: Bacterial small subunit ribosomal RNA
Source: RNAcentral
CCUACGGGUGACAGCAGUCGAGAAUCAUUCACAAUGGGGGAAACCCUGAUGGUGCGACGCCGCGUGGGGGAAUGAAGGUCUUCGGAUUGUAAACCCCUGUCAUGUGGGAGCAAAUUAAAAAGAUAGUACCACAAGAGGAAGAGACGGCUAACUCUGUGCCAGCAGCCGCGGUAAUACAGAGGUCUCAAGCGUUGUUCGGAAUCACUGGGCGUAAGGCGUGCGUAGGCUGUUUCGUAAGUCGUGUGUGAAAGGCGCGGGCUCAACCCGCGGACGGCACAUGAUACUGCGAGACUAGAGUAAUGGAGGGGGAACCGGAAUUCUCGGUGUAGCAGUGAAAUGCGUAGAUAUCGAGAGGAACACUCGUGGCGAAGGCGGGUUCCUGGACAUUAACUGACGCUGAGGCACGAAGGCCAGGGGAGCGAAAGGGAUUAGAUACCCGGGUAGUC